AGCCAUGCAUGUCUGAGUACGUGCCUCCGAAACAGAAGGCGAAACCGCGAAUGGCUCAUUAAAUCAGUUAUGGUUCCUUGGAGCCUACAAAAAUUACUUGGAUAACCGUGGCAAUUCUAGAGCUAAUACAUGCAGCAGAGCUCUCCGGGAUCCCGAAGCCUCCUCGGCGGAGGGGUCGGAGAGCGCUUUUAUUAGACCAAGACCAGCGCGGGGGCCGGCAACGGUUCCCGGGCGAACUCUGGUGACUCUGUAUAACUUUUUGCCGAUCGCACGGGCUCGCCCCGGCGACGUAUCUUUCAAGUGUCUGCCUUAUCAACUGUCGAUGGUAGGCCACGUGCCUACCAUGGUCGUAACGGGUGACGGGGAAUCAGGGUUCGAUUCCGGAGAGGGAGCCUGAGAAACGGCUACCACAUCCAAGGAAGGCAGCAGGCGCGCAAAUUACCCACUCCCGGCACGGGGAGGUAGUGACGAAAAAUAACGAUACGGGACUCUUUCGAGACCCCGUAAUCGGAAUGAGUUCUCUCCAAAUCCUUGCACGAGGAUCCAUCGGAGGGAAAGUCUGGUGCCAGCCGCCGCGGUAACUCCAGCUCCGAUAGCGUAUAUUAAAGUUGUUGCGGUUAAAAAGCUCGUAGUUGGAUCUCAGUUCCGGACGGGCGGCCCCGCCCUCAGCGGCGGCAGUCGACCCGCGUCCGAACAGCCUGCCCGUUUCCCCCGGUGAUCUUGACCGGUUGUCGAGGGCGACGGGCCAGUUUACUUUGAAAAAAUUAGAGUGCUCAAAGCAGGCCGAGAAUCGGCCGGAAUAGAAGGUGCAUGGAAUAAUGGAACAGGACCUCGUUCCCGUUCUGCUGGUCUUCUGGAUCACGAGGUAAUGAUUAAGCGGAACAGACGGGGGCAUUCGUACUGCGACGCUAGAGGUGAAAUUCUUGGACCGUCGCAGGACGAACCACUGCGAAAGCAUUUGCCAAGAAUGCUUCCGUUAAUCAAGAACGAAAGUCAGAGGAUCGAAGGCGAUCAGAUACCGCCCUAGUUCUGACCGUAAACGAUGCCAGCCAGCGAUCCGGCUGCGUUCCUCAAACGACGCGCCGGGCAGCUUCCGGGAAACCAAAGCUUUUGGGUUCCGGGGGAAGUAUGGUUGCAAAGCUGAAACUUAAAGGAAUUGACGGAAGCGCACUACCAGGAAUGGAGCCUGCGGCUUAAUUUGACUCAACACGGGGAAACUCACCCGGCCCGGACACAGGAAGGAUUGACAGAUUGAGAGCUCUUUCUUGAUUCUGUGGGUGGUGGUGC
Molecule: ribosomal RNA, 1287 nt
Filed under: Mallinella bidenticulata
Lineage: Eukaryota; Metazoa; Arthropoda; Arachnida; Araneae; Zodariidae
Description: SSU rRNA
Rfam family: Eukaryotic small subunit ribosomal RNA
Source: RNAcentral